CCCUUAGAUGUCCUGGGCCGCACGCGCGUUACACUGAUGCAUUCAACGAGCUUAUAACCUUGGCCGAGAGGCCUGGGCAAUCUUGUUAACGUGCAUCGUGAUAGGGAUAGAUUAUUGAAAUUAUUAAUCUUGAACGAGGAAUUCCUAGUAAACGCAGAUCAUCAAUCUGCAUUGAUUACGUCCCUGCCCUUUGUACACACCGCCCGUCGCACCUACCGAUUGGAUGGUCCGGUGAAGCCUCGGGAUUGUGGUUCUUGCCGUUUUAUUGUGGCGUGACCGCGAGAACUUGUCUAAACCUUAUCAUCUAGAGGAAGGUGAAGUCGUAACA
This 328-nucleotide ribosomal RNA is filed under the name uncultured eukaryote. Its description in RNAcentral is "partial 18S ribosomal RNA". It matches the Rfam family "Eukaryotic small subunit ribosomal RNA", at positions 1470 to 1796 of the family's 1831-position model. The record is from RNAcentral.